UACAGAGGUCUCAAGCGUUGUUCGGAUUCAUUGGGCGUAAAGGGUGCGUAGGUGGCGCGGUAAGUCGGGUGUGAAAUCUCGGAGCUUAACUCCGAAAUUGCAUUCGAUACUGCCGUGCUUGAGGACUGGAGAGGAGACUGGAAUUCAUCGGUGUAGCAGUGAAAUGCGUAGAGAUCGUAAGGAAGACCAGUGGCGAAGCGGGUCGUCUGACAGUUCCUGACGCUGAGCACGAAGGUCAGGGGAGCAAACGGG
RNAcentral lists this ribosomal RNA (252 nucleotides) under uncultured bacterium. RNAcentral describes it as "partial 16S ribosomal RNA". It matches the Rfam family "Bacterial small subunit ribosomal RNA", at positions 524 to 776 of the family's 1533-position model. The record is from RNAcentral.